AAUACAAUAGUUUUGAAAUAUUUUUAUCUUGUUCUUUGUGGUGUGAUGUUUAUCUUCAAUUCCUUUAUUUAAUUUACAUUAUUAAUUAUGUUUUGUAUUUGACUGAAUGUUAACUUUUUGUUUGUCCGUUUUGUAUUGGUUUUCUGCCAUUUACCACUGUUACCUGCCCUUAGAACUGUAUUGUAUAAAUUCUAGGCUCCACGUAGAAUCCCUGACUUGAUGCUAAGCCAUAACUCAUCAUGGACAUUAAGUACUUUCUAUUCCUCAAUUCUUAAAGAAUUAAAAAUGUCAUUGUUGGGUAAUGAUCCUCAAGCCUUUUCUUUUGCAGACAUAUAAAGAAUGGAUUUUGAAGGCAAUAGAACAGACUUGGAAUCUUUUCCACAAAAAAUUUACUGCAUUAUGGGAUGAACACAGGAAUGGCUCUGGUGAGGCGUAUCUUCCAGAAAUUUAUAAUAACUCUGAACUUCAGCUUCUUACACAAAAGAAAUACAUGCAAGGUUUGUUGCAUGACACCCUCGGAUUUGGUGCUGCCAAAAUGAUAAGGUGAGGUUGUGAUUCAGUUUGUUAAUUAUAUUUUUUGUAUCAUUGCUUUCUUCUACUAUUGAUGCUUCUUUUCUAUUUCCUUGCAUCUUUAAAAACAUUUUAUGACAGUACAAAUGUAGAUAUCUUCUUAAGCUUUUUUUACUACAUUUUAUGGCAUUUUUCUUUGAAAUUUUAGAUUUGUAGAUUUAUUUUUAGUUUUAUUUUCAUUUUUUAGUUUUAGGCAUUUUAAAUGAUCCUUAAACCUUUGAAUGUCAAAUGGAAAUAUUGGUUUAAAUAUAUAAUUAUACCAAUUCAAGUACUUGAAACAUCGAUUUAUAUAAGUGGUAUCAUGAAGCCCUGUGUUACAUUCUUGUCAUAGACUUCAUACAAUUAUCUCUUUUUAAGACUUAUCGAUCUUUUGAUUCACAGGAGAAUUGUUGGUGUAGCACAUGUUGAGGAUUUUGAAUCAAUUGUUGAUGCUAGCAAGCGAGCUAACUGUGAGAGACAGGCACUUGUAUUUGCAAAGAUGCUUUUGAAGGAAAGGAGAAAAUUUCAGGCUAUCACUGAAGUUGUUUUAGCCGUUCAGCAAGAACAAUCAUGAGAAAAGUAUUAGGUAAAGUUGAAUGUUUGGUUAGGGCAUGCAGAAUUAGUUGGGGUGGGUGUUCUGAUAUGAUUUGGAUCCCAAAUUGCCAUUUGGAGCAAUGAUGAUACGAUAUUAUAUCUGGUUUAUACCAAUGAUCUGAAUUGCACUUCUUGCUGUAUUUGCUUCUGUUGUUUGCUACAAAUGAUUCUCAUAAGGUCCUGAUGAAAUUAUCAAUCCACAGAUUGAUACAUUUUAAAAAUUUUACCAAUAUUUUCUAUAUCUGAUCAGCUUUACUAUAUGCUUUUAUGAAUGCAAGUAAUUCUACAUCUUCAUAUGUGAUUAAAAAUAACCUCUUAUGCACCAUAUUAUUUACUAUAAUUCAGAAUUAACUUGGCUAUUUUCCAUGAAGUCUAGCAAUUUCAGAACAGAGUAUUUAAUCUUGGUGGUGGGGGGAGAACAGAGUAUUUAAUCUUGACGGGAUAUGCUUUUUAGCCCUUUGCUCAUUGCAUUUAUAUGUUUCCCCGCAAUGAGUUUGAACCCAAAAGCUUCUAAACCCACUUUUUUGUUUCAUAUGUAAGACUCCAUGCAUCAAAAAGUCAUUUGAAGUUCGAACAAAAAAUGAACCUGUAUGUCUUAGUUUCUCCUGACAGAGUGUCUUUCUGAUCUGUCACAGUAAUUUGAUCCAUUGAAUGGUGAUUGGAGUUUUUGAGACAGGGAUCGAAUACUAGAAUAUAUUGUUUGGCCUUGGAUUUACCCAAUAAUCAAUUCCUUACCUUUCCAACUGUGUCCCUACCUACCAAUCCAAAACAAACUAAUCUUGCUCCUAUAUAUAUAUAUUUAACAGGAAACUUUUUCUUUUUCUUUUUCUUUUUCCUUUUUGGUUGUCCCUGUUGAGACUCCAACCUUGAACAUCCCAUAUCCCCACACAAAUCCUUGCCACUUGGCCUCAAGGGCUAGUCUUGCUUAUAUUGAUACUAAUUAAACACUGAAAAGAUCCUAUCUUGAUUGGCUUUGAAGCUAUAUCAUUGAACCCAUAUUACAUUUUUAGCGUGAACAAUAUGAAUUCGUUUAGAUAUUGCAUGUUUCUUCAUCUUUGUUGAAACUAAUCUAUCCAGUGGGUGGUCCAUAUUGGUUUUCCAAGGUCUUCAAACAUUCAGAUUGAAACUAAUCUACCGGAAGAACUACUUAAGACUUUGAUCUAGUUAAUUUAUCGAUGUCAGUUUUGUGACUGAUGAGCAUGGGAUUAGCCACAAUGGUUGGUCAUGAACUUUAAAUAUUCUUGAAGUAGAUCAUGUUAAAGUCAUGUGAAGGGAACGGCAAUUGAAUGGUGAAGGAAAUCUUGAUUUGUAUGUUUUAUACCAGCAACAACAUUACCAUAGAUUUUCUGUAUGCUUGUCCUGUUUGAACCAACAAUAUUAGCUUAAAAAAUGUGUGCUUGUUAGAGAGAGAUUUUUAAAGGGUAUCCUGACCCAUGACUUAUGCUGCAUCUGUUGAGGCAUGAGAAGCACACCUUUUACAAGCCUUGGCUUGAGGCAAAAGAGUUCAUUGUCUAGUUAGGCUCAAUUUCCAGUUACAUGAUGCAUAUUAGAAAAAAAUAAUCGGACGCACCCUAACUUUUUUUGAUAAGCUUACACAAGAUGACUGACCAUCUGAUCCAGGAUGGAUCUCUAUUCAACUGUUGUAUGCUGUGAUGAAAUGCGGAAGAAUUUGACAUUUGCUGUGAUAAAAUGAGGAAGAAUUUAACAAUUUGGGGGAAAGGGAGUGGGUUUGUGGUUGUGUUUUUGGGGUUGGGUUUGGUUUGGGUUGGUUGUUUUUUGGGAGCAUCGCUUGGUUUGGUUGGGUGGUGGUUGUUUGUCACUUGUUAGGCGAGGAGAAGGGGAGGAGGUGUGGUGUGGUGGUGUUGCUGUUUGGUUCAGGUUUGUUUGAGUAAUGUGUUCAGUGUAUGUUUUGAAUGGUUUAAAGCUCCAUCCCCAUGACAAUNNNNNNNNNNNNNNNNNNNNNNNNNNNNNNNNNNNNNNNNNNNNNNNNNNNNNNNNNNNNNNNNNNNNNNNNNNNNNNNNNNNNNNNNNNNNNNNNNNNNAAUUUGCCAAUUUAUUCAAAUACUGAUUCAGAAAAACACGACACAACUCAUCAUAUCAUUUGUGUUCGCAGGCACAUUUCUGGGCAUUAUUAUUAUUAUUAUUAUACUUAGCCUUGCACUAACUACGGAGCUGAUCAGUGAUCUUUCUCAUCUCUUUUCUCAGUUCCGCUACAAACCCACUUUGGAGAGUGUUAUAGUAGUCCAGGAACCUCGCAGUCACAGACCCGCAACAUAACCCCCGUCCCGCUAGUCCCCUUGGCCAGGUUGCACCCAGUGAGAUGGUGCAUACCCUGCCUUAAGUCUCACAAAAUCUACAAUGCCUGCAAUCAGUCCUCCAGGGAUCUGGAAAUUAAAUCCUGCAAUACCAAUUUAUGAUACAACAUGACACGCCCUCUCGGAAUUUAUAUGAUCUGAAAUGUCUGUGUUGGGUAUGCUAAUAGAAACUGUUUGCUUAGCCGGAAGAGUAUUUCUAGGGUCUUAAAAUGAACAGGGUACCGACAAAGGUGAUGCCAGUUCAAUAGACGAAAUUAAAACCCUUUUUUUACGUGGCAGGUAGAACCAAAUUUUCUAGGAAAAUUACAAUUUGAAGAUGAUGACAGUUGGAUUAAAGACUUUGCCUUCAUGGCACUUCGAAAUGCUGCAUAAUAUCACUGUAAAAGGCAUAUAGGUAUAUCACAAGUGGCAAAACAUACGUCAGCUGGGGUGCCUGCUCCACGUGUUAUUAUUAAUAUUCCUAAAAUAGCUGUAAAGUGUGCAAUUUUGGGAUAUUCAUUUUCUUGUAGAGCGAAGGACGUGCAUGGUAGUAGUAGCACGUGCUUGUAUGUAUUCAUUCAUGGCUUCUAGAUGAUGAAUUAAAUUAGAGAAUUAGGGUUCUGUUUUGAACGCAGCUUUUUGAGGCUUUUGGGGGCGACACCUACCACCAAGUCAUUUAAUCAGCCAAACAAACCCCAAGUUGGGCCUCUUUCUUUGAUUUUAGAUUACUAAAAAAUCAGCAUCUUAAUUACCCAGGCAACCCUUAGUUCAUAUCCAUAGUGUUAAUUAAUUUCCUUAUUGAGAUGAAGCUCAUCCAAAGAGUGACAAAAAACAAAGAGAUGGAUAAGGGAGGGAAUGAUGAAUGGAGAAUGGAGCCGCCCUUGUGUGUUUGCCCCUGCCUGCUUAGCUCUCUCAAGUCGAUCUGGAUAUAACCUGGAACGUUGCUGUCACUGAUUUAUGCAAACAAAUAAGUCUUGCUUUCAAGUCCAAGUCUUCACCCUCUGGUAGUCCAAGUCUUCCUCCCCUUUAAGUCUCAAGUCUUCGUGGGCAUUGAUAUCUAUCCUUAUCUUUUCAUUAUUUUUAUUACUUGCCACUCUAUUUCCUUAAUUUUUUUUUCUUAAUAAAAGUUAAUUUUUGACCAAAUAUUUCUAAUUAUUGUCCAGCAUAGGAAGUAAAGCAAAUAAAACAUCAGUUUAUUUAGUUAAUAAAUCUUACGAAAGAAAUGUAUUUGUAACGUAGAAUUUAUAUAAAAUGUAUUAAGUAAUUUUUGGAAAGUUAAAAUUUUAUUUUCUAAGAAAAUUUUGAUUCUAACUUUCUAGACUUUUGGGCUUAUAUAUUCCUUAUACCUAAAUAUGUUUUAAGGCCAGAUGCUUUCAUUCAAAAAAUAUCCUUAACCUACUCCUAUCAUUCCUAAAAGCACUCAAAGGUUGAACUUUGGAUUGUUGAAGAGAUUUGCAUCUCUUUGGAGGCUAAGGCAAAUCAACUCGAGUAUUUCCGUCGCAACGAUGACGUCAUCUGGAUUCCGGCCCCUUGACGACAAGUCUCUCGUAGAGUACAUAAAGGCCACGCCUGCUCUCUUCUCCAAGCUUGCAAACCAGCUCCAUGGAUUGCAGAUCAAAGAAGUGGGCGACGGCAAUCUCAACUUCGUCUACGUCGUCAUCUCUUCCGCCGGCUCCUUCGUCAUCAAACAGGUACAAAUUUGUAUUCAUUAGGGAACCUCACAACUUUGGAUUCUUACUGAACAAAAAAUGGCUUCACUGUGGAAGAAUUUGAAGUAUUUGUGAAGGUUUGGUCGAAGUGACUGUUUAUUACAAGGAGGGAAUGGAAUAAAUAGAUAGAGCAGAGUGCUCUGCCUUACAUUACCAAACGAGGCUGUACAGCUCAGCACUUAUUCUAACAAGCCAUAUCUAGAAUAUUCUAUACAAAUAUAGCUGUUAUAACAGAUUAAAUAAAUGCUAGUAUGCUAGAACUGUUGUAAGAUGUGGUUGUGUUGAGAGUGCAGGCGUUGCCGUACAUACGUAGUAUAGGGGAAUCGUGGCCGAUGACGAAGGACCGGGCGUAUUUUGAAGCGACGGCUUUGAGAGAGCAGCGUCGCUGGUGCUCCAAUCAUGUGCCGGAGGUUUAUCAUUUUGAUAGGGAAAUGGCUGUAAUCGGUAUGAGGUACUUGGAGCCUCCGCAUAUAAUUCUUAGAAAGGGCCUGAUUGCUGGAAUUGAGUACCCGUUGCUUGCAGAACACAUGUCGGAGUUCAUGGCGAGGACUCUUUUCUUCACAUCUCUUCUAUACCAUGACACAACAGAGCACAAACGUGCAGGUAAAUGCUUUUUGAUAUUAUUUAUUAUGUUUCAUGAACGUUCUAGUCUUUUGAUUUUUUUUUUUAUUUAUUAUUCUUUGAAUUGAAACAUAGGAGGCAAAAUGUAUAAAUUAUAGUAGCUGUAAUGCACAGACUGCGCGUGCUAUUGAUUUAUAGUAGUUAAAUAUUUCCGCCACGAGCCAAGAACUUUGUCUUCUCCUCAAAUAUGUUGUGCCAGGAGUAAUUACUGGUAGAAUUUAAGAGAAAAUUGCAGUUUGCUUCUGAUGAAGUUAUUCUAUUGACAAACUUGAAUCAUGUUCAAAUUGUGCUUUAUGCAGUUGCUGAAUUUUGUGGAAAUGUGGAGUUAUGUCGGCACACUGGGCAAGUUGUUUUCUCUGAUCCAUACAAAGUAUCUCAGUAUAAUUGGUGGACUUCCCCUUAUCUUGACCGUGAUGCCGAGGCAGUUCGAGAGGAUAACAUUUUGAAGCUUGAAGUUGCUGAGUUGAAAUCUAUGUACUGUUUCCAUAUCAGUGCCUCAUUUCUUGCAGUAAUAUAAAAUGUUUCUAUUAAUAGCAGUUUAAUUCUGAAAUAAACAGGUUGAAAUCCUUUCUAAGCCUAGUUAGAAUCUAUUUUGCAGGUUCUGUGAGAGAUCGCAAGCCCUAGUACAUGGAGAUCUUCAUACUGGUUCAGUUAUGGUUACCCCUGAUUCGACUCAAGUUAUAGAUCCAGAAUUUGGCUUUUAUGGACCAAUGGGGUUUGAUAUAGGCGCUUUUUUAGGAAACUUGAUUUUGGCAUACUUUGCACAAGAUGGGCAUGAUGAUCAAGUGAAUGAUAGAAAAGUAUGUCUGUGUUCUCAACUUUAUUUCUAUGGUUUUUCCAGUUUUCCCCAAAGUUCUAAAAUAUUUAGCUGUCCAUAGUCUAGUGUUAAUUUUCUUGUUUCCUUUUUCCUUUGAAUUUUGUCAUAAACCUUAAUGGCCUUUUCAAUUCAUCCAAUUGUGGCUUUCCUUUGCAUUUCCUCUUAUACCUUAUGGUUUCUUGUUAAAGACAUGCAACAUGAGGUCCUUCUUCCUUAUAUCUACGUGGCCUUGAAGUUGAAGUUUGGACCCAGAAAUUUUAACUCUUCUUGUAGACCCAGAAAAGGCUUGAAUGAAUGUGGUUUGGAGGAUGUAGUAAAUGAUUAUAUGAGCUCAAAUCCUAUAUUCAAUGGAUACAGUUUUGAGAAUGAUUUGACAUGGUUCCACUUAUCCUUUAGGAUAAACCUUUUUAACCUUAUGAAGAGGAGUUCUUUACAUAUAAUUUUUGUUUAACAAAACAGAGAAUUCAAUACAAUAGUUUUGAAAUAUUUUUUAUUUUGUUCUUUCUGGUGUGAUGUUUAUCUUCAAUUCCUUUAUUUAAUUUACAUUAUUAAUUAUGUUUUGUAUUUGACCGUAUGUUAACUUUUUGUUUGUCCGUUUUGCAUUGGUUUUCUGCCAUUUACCACUGUUACCUGCCCUUAGAACUGUAUUGUAUAAAUUCUAGGCACCAUGUAGAAUCCCUGACUUGAU
This 7272-nucleotide long non-coding RNA is filed under the name Vitis vinifera (wine grape). RNAcentral's name for it is "long non-coding RNA (VVIN_LNC000716)". Lineage: Eukaryota; Viridiplantae; Streptophyta; Magnoliopsida; Vitales; Vitaceae. The record is from RNAcentral.